GACGAACGCUGGCGGCGCGCUUAACACAUGCAAGUCGAGCGAUCGACUCGGGGCUUGCCCCGAGCACGGAGCGGCGAACGGGUGAGUAACACGUGGGUGACCUGCCCUCGGUUCUGGGAUAACUCCGGGAAACCGGCGCUAAUACCGGAUGGCCUCCUGGAUCUACGGAUCCUUGAGAAAAGGUAGCUUUGGCCUCCGACCGAGGAUGGGCCCGCGGCCGAUUAGCUUGUUGGUGAGGUAAUGGCUCACCAAGGCGACGAUCGGUAGCUGGUGUGAGAGCAUGACCAGCCACACUGGGACUGAGACACGGCCCAGACUCCUACGGGUGGCUG
RNAcentral lists this ribosomal RNA (332 nucleotides) under uncultured Actinomycetes bacterium. RNAcentral's name for it is "bacterial SSU rRNA". It matches the Rfam family "Bacterial small subunit ribosomal RNA", at positions 28 to 351 of the family's 1533-position model. The record is from RNAcentral. Lineage: Bacteria; Bacillati; Actinomycetota; Actinomycetes.